GACAAUGAAAGUGAAUCAGCUGAUCACAUCUAUGCUAAUAUUAAACUGAAAUCUAAGAAAGAAAUGAAGAAAAAGAAGAAAUACAAGAAAGAUGAUAAAGACACAAGUGCAGACAAUGUAAGUGAAGCAGCUGAUCACAUCUAUGCUAAUAUUGAAUUGAAACCAAAGAAAGAAAUGAAGAAAAAGAAGAAAUACAAGAAAG
Non-coding RNA from Paramisgurnus dabryanus, 202 nucleotides. NCBI's taxonomy places the organism in Eukaryota, Metazoa, Chordata, Actinopteri, Cypriniformes, Cobitidae. The record is from RefSeq and is a predicted model, not a curated record.